AUUUAAACCACAGAACAACUCCUGGGGGGAGCCAUCGUUAGCCCAGUUUUACAGCUGAGGAAACCGAGACGCACAGAAGUUACAUACAUUGGAUCAGGCCACACAGCUGGAAGCCCAGAUGAGCAGGAAGACACGCCCUCGGGGCUGGACACAUGCACACCUGGGGAAGGAGGUGCACAGCCCACGUCCUCAGUGCCUCCUCAAAGUCAGCUUCACUGCAGCCCACCUCCCACCCGGGACCGGCCCCAAGGCCCUUCUCGAUUACCUCGAAAGGAUCUCCGGCACUGAAGUCAAAGGAGAGGAUGAGGUCAACCUCCCGUGUCGGGGGCAGCACGAGUGGGAAGGGAGUGUUGAUGGCCAAACCAGCAUCCACCAGGUGGAGGUGCUUCCGGCUACUCAUUGUCUUGUCCUGGAUGCCACCUGCGGUGCCCAGGAAGAAAGAGGAUCAGCUGCUUCCAGGGACUGAAAGACUUGUAAAUGGAAGGCAGGGAGGGGGAUGGGAAAAUGAUUAUUGUCAGU
Piliocolobus tephrosceles (Ugandan red Colobus) is the source of this 519-nucleotide long non-coding RNA. RefSeq lists it as uncharacterized. The transcript is spliced from 3 exons. The record is from RefSeq and is a predicted model, not a curated record. NCBI's taxonomy places the organism in Eukaryota, Metazoa, Chordata, Mammalia, Primates, Cercopithecidae.